This 1839-nucleotide small RNA is filed under the name Pan troglodytes (chimpanzee). Its description in RNAcentral is "retained intron". The record is from RNAcentral. Lineage: Eukaryota; Metazoa; Chordata; Mammalia; Primates; Hominidae.
GUCGGGGCCCGGCAUGGCGGGGGCCGGGGCCAAGCCGGGCCGGACCCGGACCUAAAUGCCUCUGUUCUUCUCCGCGCUGUUGGUCUUGCUGCUAGUUGCGCUUAGCGCCCUCUUUCUAGGCCGGUGGCUUGUGGUCCGGUUGGCCACCAAGUGGUGUCAGCGGAAGCUGCAGGCGGAGCUAAAGAUUGGCUCCUUCCGCUUUUUUUGGAUCCAGAAUGUCAGUCUUAAGUUUCAGCAACACCAGCAAACAGUGGAAAUUGAUAACCUGUGGAUUUCCAGCAAACUCCUUAGCCAUGAUCUUCCGUGAGUACCCUAUAUUCUCACUUCUCCCCUAGAAGAGUACUUUGGAGUUGGUGUUUGCAGAGUGACACUCUUCUGCAGAGGCAUCACAAUCCAAGGAGGAAGGGAGGUUGUUGCUGAAGUCUUCCUGUUAGCCUGGGUGCCAUUGUGUUGUGAGGAAGAUAUUGAUAACUGCUAUGAAACUAAUCUCUGUGAUUUGAGCUAUAUUUCUAGGAAGGAUGAGAAAGUGAAUGUGAGGGUGGGGAAUAGACUGCUAUGGGAGGGAUGGACCUGGUGGCAGUGAGAUUUCUCUUCUGGGCAGACACUAUGUGGCAUUGUGCUUUGGAGAAGUGCGUAUCAGAACGGACCUACAGAAAGUUUCUGGCCUGUCUGCCCCAUUCUCCCAGAGCGCUGGGGUGGAUCAAAAGGAACUGUCCUUCAGCCCAUCGUUAUUGAAGAUCUUCUGCCAACUAUUCUCCAUUCAUGUAGAUGCUAUAAACAUCAUGGUUCUCAAGGUGGAUACCUCUGAGUCCUUAUGGCAUAUUCAGAUCAGUAGAAGCAGAUUUCUUUUGGAUAGUGAUGGGAAAAGGCUAAUCUGUGAGGUGAGCUUAUGUAAGAUCAACAGCAAAGUUCUAAAGAGCGGUCAGCUGGAGGACACCUGCCUAGUGGAGCUUUCACUGGCCCUGGACCUGUGUCUAAAGGUGGGCAUUAGCAGUCGGCAUCUCACUGCUAUCACUGUGGAUGUGUGGACACUCCAUGCUGAACUGCAUGAGGGCCUCUUCCAGAGCCAACUGCUGUGCCAGGGCCCAAGCCUAGCAUCUAAGCCUGUUCCCUGUUCAGAGGUGACAGAAAACUUAGUUGAGCCAACUCUGCCUGGCCUUUUCCUUCUCCAGCAGCUGCCAGACCAGGUCAAGGUUAAGAUGGAGAACACAAGCGUGGUAUUGUCCAUGAAUAGUCAAAAGAGGCACCUGACUUGGACUCUGAAGCUGCUGCAGUUCCUGUACCACCGUGAUGAGGAUCAGCUGCCCCUUCGAAGCUUCACAGCAAACUCUGAUAUGGCACAGAUGAGCACGGAACUGCUGCUGGAAGGUUCAUGGGUCGGGGUACUGGUACUGAGCGAGAAUGGGAGGACUAGAUACUCUCUUUGCUCAUGCCCCAUAUGGUCUCCUUAAUCUAAUCUCAGUGUAACUGGGGAGUGGAAGGAGGGAACAUACUGAGAGAAAAUAGCCCCAGCUCACAAGUUUUGAUGACAGUCUGUUUAUCCCUUUGCCGGCUUCUGACCCUCUCCCAGUUUUACCUCUUGCCCUUCCAGUGCUGUCCUCUGAUCUGUCCUCUGGCCUCUUACAGAUGGGUUGUUGUUGUCCCAGAGUCGCCAACGCAUUGUCUGCCUCAACUCCCUCAAGGCUAGUGUGCAGGUGACCACCAUUGAUCUCUCAGCCUCCCUAGUUCUGAACACUUGCAUCAUUCACUACCGGCACCAGGAAUUCUCUCACUGGCUGCACCUGCUAGCACUGGAAACCCAAGGGUCUAAUUCACCUGUUCUAAAGCAAAGGAAAAAAA